RNAcentral lists this ribosomal RNA (513 nucleotides) under uncultured bacterium. Its description in RNAcentral is "partial 16S ribosomal RNA". It matches the Rfam family "Bacterial small subunit ribosomal RNA", at positions 28 to 523 of the family's 1533-position model. The record is from RNAcentral.
GAUGAACGCUGGCGGCGUGCCUAAUACAUGCAAGUCGAGCGAACAGAUAAGGAGCUUGCUCCUUUGAAGUUAGCGGCGGACGGGUGAGUAACACGUGGGUAACCUACCUAUAAGACUGGGAUAACUUCGGGAAACCGGAGCUAAUACCGGAUAACAUUUAGAACCGCAUGGUUCUAAAGUGAAAGAUGGUUUCGCUAUCACUUAUAGAUGGACCCGCGCCGUAUUAGGCUAGUUGGUAAGGUAACGGCUUACCAAGGCGACGAUACGUAGCCGACUUGGGAGGGGGAUCGGCCACACUGGAACGGAGACACGGUCCAGACUCCUACGGGAGGCAGCAGUAGGGAAUCUUCCGCAAUGGGCGAAAGCCUGACGGAGCAACGCCGCGUGAGUGAUGAAGGGUUUCGGCUCGUAAAACUCUGUAUUAGGGAAGAACAAAUGUGUAAGUAACUGUGCACAUCUUGACGGUACCUAAUCAGAAAGCCACGGCUAACUACGUGCCAGCCGCCGCCGUAA